This 333-nucleotide ribosomal RNA is filed under the name uncultured bacterium. RNAcentral's name for it is "bacterial SSU rRNA". It matches the Rfam family "Bacterial small subunit ribosomal RNA", at positions 1 to 334 of the family's 1533-position model. The record is from RNAcentral.
GUGAGUAGUUCAGAGUUUGAUCCUGGCUCAGGAUUAGCGCCGGCGGCAUGCCUAAUACAUGCAAGUCGAACGAGGUCACUUGUGACCUAGUGGCGAACGGGUGAGUAACACGUAGGGAACCUGCCUCAAAGUCGAGGAUAACUAUUGGAAACGAUAGCUAAGACUGGAUAGUAUACCAGAAGGCAUCUUUUGGUAUUUAAAGGUCCGUUUGGAACGCUUUGAGAUGGCCCUGCGGCGCAUUAGCUAGUUGGUGAGGUAACGGCCCACCAAGGCGACGAUGCGUAGCUGUGCUGAGAGGCAAAACAGCCACACUGGGACUGAGACACGGCCCAG